GAUCCCCUUCUGUGACACGGUGACCCACUGAGUGGAUGAGGGGAGUGCUUUGGAUGUUUUCUACCUGGACUUCAGUGAAGCCUUUGACACCAUUUCCCACAGCACCUCCUGGAGCCACUGGCUGCUCAUGGUUUGGACAGUCCCUUGUCCUCAGCCACAUGGCUGCUCCACAGAUGGAGGAUGAGGAAUGGCUGUAAUCCUUGGUUUAGAGGGUUUUGCUGAGCUCAUCCCUAUGGAGGAGGACUGGAAUCACUGCCAGCCAUUAAAGGGAUGUGCCAAGGAGUGACUCAGGACAUGUCAGCAGAGUUGCACUCCUGGACCAGGAGGUACCUGCAACUGCUACAGUUUGCAGCCCUGCAAACCCUGCUGGGAGAGGAUGAGGAGCAGCCGAGCCCUGCCUGAUGUGACAGUCCUACUCCAACCCACCCUCGAGCAGCCUCAGAGCCACCCCCUUUUGGGAGAGGUGAAGCCCUGGUUCAAGCACUGCAAGCUGAAGUUCUCCAGUCUGCUGGCUACCCCCAAGCCUGCAUCCCCUGCCCUAUCUCCUCCAUCUCUCCAGCAACGAGAACAGCUCCAUCCCUGCUGAGUGACAAGCUGUAAAUCCUUGUGAGGACUUGCUGGAAGAAGGGACUGGAGGUUUGCAGAGAAGCCCUGCGAGGAAAAGCUGGCUUCCCACUGGGGCCUGAUUUUGUAAAGGGGUGAUGUGAUCAAGCAUGUGAAGGAACAGAAUCCUGUUGUUUUGACCUGUUACAUGUCAGUCCACUUAAAUCUGAAAACUCAGCUUGGACAAGCAUCUCUGUUGGUGAACAAGGAACAGACUGGAGGAGAAUUGGCCAAAAAGAGGGAGGUUCAUUGCACGUCUCCUCCUGAGCAGUGUCCAUGCCAGGCCAGCACCUCUUCCCCUGGGAGGAUGGAGAGCACCUACCCAGAGUGACAGUGGUGGUGAUUUAUUCCCUCUCUUGCAAAAGACCAGCUCUUCUGGCCAACAAUAAGAAACAAAUGGAGGUGGGUGUUUGCCUUGUGGAGCCAACCCAGGUAAGUAGAAAGCUCCAGCUGCUUUUGCAUUCCACUGAUGAUGGAGAAGCACCUCCAGACUGACCCAGUUUGGCUCCCAGCAGCAUCAGCCUGAACUGUGCUCAUCUGAGCCCUCACAUGCCGUGGUGGGGCCCUCACCCUCUUCCUCACUCAGCUGUGCCCUCUUAGCUGUCACGGGUGCUCCCCAUGAAGCCCAGAAAAGGCUCAUUUUGCUGAUCACUCCUUUUGCUGGUCACCACUUCUUGCUGCAGCUCCCAGUUUUAUACCUGGCUGCAGCUGGUCCCUGCUAAAGGACCAUGGUGGGAUCUGUCUCUGAAAAUUUAAUGCAGCUUUAAGAAGUCCCUGGAGGUUUUCCUUUCCGAUGAGCUUCUUCAUCAUGCUGUUUAUCCCUGGAUGCAUAAGAAGCAAGUGAAAUCACAGACUGCAGUAGUGCAUGCCCCACCUUGAAAGAGAUGGCUUCUUCCUGGUCCUACUGUAUGGCUGCUAAGGAGAGCUGGCCUGGUCCUCAUCACCCUGGGAUUUAUUCACUGUUCUUGGUGAGGACUUGCAGAGAUCUUGUAUAAGCAGGAAAUCUGGGAUAUCCUGGGGGAGAAAGGAAUACUGAAGAAAUAAAUGCACUUGUAACUAGCAGUAGAGGGCUGGAGCCUACACUGGACUGCAUCAACCAUGGCUCUGCCGCUGCUGUCUUGAAGACCUCCAAGGGUGGAGAUGCCACAGCCUGUCUGGUAGCCUGUUCCAGUCUUCUGGUAAAGAAGUUUUUGUUGAUGCUCAGUCUAAUCUCCAAGUGACAGCUUGUGGACAUUGCCUUGAUCACUGCUGAUAAUGAGAAGUGCUUGACUUCAUCACCUUUUUUAAUGCCUUUGCAGAGAGGGCUACUAUUAGGACCUGCCUUAACCUCAUCAGCCUCAGACCCAGCAAGCCUAAUGCCUUCAAGCUCUCCUCACGGGAGAGGUGGUCUGUGCCCCGAGUAAGGUUCACCUGCUGGAUCUGUCCAAAUUCUCCACCUUGAGCAGGAGGCUCAAACAGGUGUAGCUCCACCAGCACCAAGGAGAAGGGGCGAUAGUUUUCCUUGAUCUCAUGCAUUAUGAGGACUGGUUUGCCUCAUUUGUGGCAAGGGGGAACUGUUGUUUUUGUACUUAAUCUUUCAAGACAACACUUGGAUCCUCCUCAUUCGGGCUGCUCAGCAGUCAGCUGGUUCCCAGCCUGAACUGCUGCAUGGGGUUAUUCCAGCGUGGUGCAGAGCUUUGCAUGGCUCCGCAAAACUCAGUGAGGCUUCUCAUGGCCUCAAGUUUCCCAAGGUCCUGCUGAUCAAAGCAGGGUGCUCAGUAUGCCAACCACCCCACCCAGUUUGGUGGUGCCUGCAAAUCUCCACAGGGAGUCUUCUGCCUCUUGUUCAGGCUCUUAGGACUCCCUUUCCAUGAGUAGAGAGGACACAGCCUUGGUCUGUGGGAUCUAUGGACUAGACAUCUUCUGGCAUCCUUCUGCUUUCCCACACCCACCCUUGGCAAAGCUGGCUGAAGCAGUCAGCUCCUGCUGCAGCCUGGCUCCUGGCCUCUCCUCUCCCUGCAAGUGCUGACACCAGUGUUUGGGGCAGGGUGGCAGACCAGGCUGGUGGGCGGAUGUGGGAUACACUCAGCCAUCACAGAUAUUUUUGGCCCAGCGACAAUUUUUCAGCUAUGAGGCAAAGCCUCCUCAGGCAGCAGAGCUGUGAGCAGAGCUGGGCUGUUGUCAGCUCUGAGUGAUGAUGCUGCACCUCCUGCCACUGCUGCCCACAAAGCACCAGGCAGUGACGGUCCCCUCUCUGCCACCCUGGUGUGUGAGGGUGUGCAGGUCAGGAGCACAGCACAGACGGUGACCUCAGGCAGAGGGACCAUAACUAACCCCCAGCCAAGUUCUAGGCACAGCUGUUUGCAGAGUCAGUGUCUGCUGCUGGCCAAAAAGUACAUGAUUUUUUUUUUUCUGCUGUUCCUUUCCUCUUUUUAUUCUUUUUUUUUUUUUUGUAAGUCAUAUGCUGCUUUCCUACUUGUGCUGCUGGCUCUGGAGGUUUCUCUUGCAGCAAUGUAAACAUAGCUACUGUGUGUCCCCACGAUUGCAGCCUGUAGCUCACAAUGAGACAGCCAAUGCCAAUAGAUGUAUAAUGAGCAUUUAAAAAGCACUUAUUUUGUCAUCCAAUCAUCCAUCUUCCUCAUUGUGUAAAUUUUGUUUUUUUGUUUCCACAACAAAAUGACUUUAAAAGAAACGUUCACCAGGAAGAAAGAAAAUUUUGAUUCUGGUGAUAAAAUCAGGACAGUCAAAAUGAUUAAUAUGACAUUGGGGAGAGCUCGCAAAUGUGGCUUAAUUUCUGCGGCAAAAAGACCUCGUGGAUACAUCAGUGCUAUGUUGUGCCUGGAAAUUUAGUGGCAGCUGGAAAUUUGAUGGUGACCUCUGAUAAGUAAGAAAAUGGUGAGGGUUUUAAUGAAUGACUUGAAUAAGAAAAUAAGCCAGUCUGUGUGGUAUUCUUCCUGAUAUUUGUUUUGCUAUUAAGUUCAGUUAAUGUGGUUCUCAUUGUGUCAGGAUGAUUGUGUUGACAGCACAUCACAACAUGUGAGCAUGGGGCAGUUUGACUGUCAGGGAAGGGGACACAUUGCUCCACACUCACGAGGUGGAGCAGGGAGGUGACUUGAAUAAGAUGGAUUUUGGAAGCCUUUGGCAGGAGACGUCAGAGAUUGUAAUGACAGAAAGAGUCCUGGUGAGCUCCUUUGCUCUCCGUGAAAAAAAUUAGUCUGUAAUUAUAUCUAGAAAAUAGGGAUGGCGGGAGGUGGCUUUAACCACAAAGUUUGGGAAAGUUACACUCAUGGUGGCUUGCAUUCUCUGCAGUCUGUUCUUAGCCUCACUUCAUUAACUUGCAGUGUUUAUUCUGUGGCUCUGGUAUCUUUGUUGUGAGGUUCAGGAGCAUAUUUUAUGAAAUGUUGAUUUUCCAUGUGAGUAUUUAUAGACUAUGUUUGAGUCACCUGUUAAUCUUCCUCUUGUAAAACCAGAAUAAGCUCAGUGUUUCUGUCAGUAUAAUGCACACUUUCAAGACCUUGUUCAUUCUCAGUUUUUCCAGUUCAGUGUCCUCCUUCUUGGCUGUAACACCACAACUACAUCCAUGCUCCUGGUGGUAGCCACUGCCCAGAGCUUCUGUUCAGCAGAGAGCAAUGGGAACCCAUCUAGGCUGGUUUCCAUCUGAAAAGUGGACCAUUUUGUCAAAGGCAAAGCAAUGGUGGUUUUUUUAAUUUUUUUUUUAAUUUAAAGCAAUAAGAGCUGUGUAAAAGCUGUUCCUUUCUUCAUUCAUAAUAUUGCAGUUGAUAAAACCUCAGGUUUGCAGUCCUUUCUGUUUUCUGGUGCCUUCAGUUUUCCAGGGAAAGUUGAGCAAAUUUAUCCAGUCAUAGCCUAGUCACAAUUCUUGGUUAUCUUCAGAGCUCCAUCCUGAAUAACUGGCUGCUUUUGGGAGCUCUUGGGUACACUACAAUGUUCACCCUUGAUCCUUCAAGUUUAUCUGGGGCUUUGUGAACACAAAAUUGCUAAACUGAUACAGAACAUCCCAUCAGACUUCCCAGAGGCAACUCAGAUGUUUGUGAUGGAAGUCAUAAAGGUAUAGGGAUGUUCAGUUUCUUUUCAGUGCCAUGCAAGUGAAGUGUUUCACUCCUUUUACAGAUCUGUAGCCAUCUCUACAGUGUUACAAUGCUCAAAUCCAUGUAGACCUUUGGCUAAUGGGAACAUUGUUCUUCCAGAGCAGAAAGGUCACUUCCAGCAGAAAUGACUGUAUCUCAGUCACUUCACUCCAAAGUCUGCUAGUUUGGUUCCAGGUGCUGAAAAGCUGAUCAAAACCUCUUGACUCUCCCGUGAAGCAGAUGAAAGAUGUUUCCCACUCAGUGCUUAGCUAAUGGGAUUGCAAUGAACAAAGCAGCAGAAUGAAGCUUUGGACUGAACUCACAGGCACACUACUUGGGUUUCCAGGUACAAAUAUCCACAGGAAAAGACACUUGUUUUUUUAAAUACCUUUUUUCAACACAAAAAGUAUCCCAAGGUCCCUUCAUAGCAUUACCUCAAGUAGAAAAAUCCAUCAAACAAAAUAUUCAAUCAAUCCCUCUUAAUCAUAUGAUCAAAGUAUUUUACCAUGGCAAAUUGAACAACAUCUAAAAUGAGAGAUGAAAAGCAAUGAGCACAGCAAAGAAAUUACUUUAAUCUGGGAGGAAGUAGGAGAGUAAAGGGAAGUUUGGGUGACAAAGCUGUGGUGGAGAAGACUUCUUCACUGAGGAGUUAAGAUAAGAGGAAGAGCAGAUGCUGGGAGCCCCAGAGAGAGAGGUGUGAAGAUGAUUUGGCCUACGUGAUGUGGUGGGUUCUGAAGGCCAGGAGAAGGUAUUUGAUGUUGUGGUACAAACUUGCACACUGGGGGAAGAGCAGCAGUUAAACCAUAAAAUGGCUGAGAUUUCUUUCAGGAGAGGCAGACAAGGAACAAAGAGGUAUUUUUCUUCAACAGAUUUGACUUAGAAAGGAAUGGGAAAGACAGGAAUGUUUAAAAGACAGAGGUGCUGCCAGAGUCUCUGUAAAAUUAAUUAGUAAAUUUCACUUUAUUUUCUACACUCAUCAACAGGCUAGAGAGGAAAUGACUGGAAUAAUUUUAAAGUAAUUUUCACUCCAACACAUGUACUUUCUAGAAGGAUAGUAAAGAAAAUAUAUCAUGCCAGACUUGAUGGGAUCCUUUGUUUCAUACAGUGUGGCAAUUUACUUUUACACUGGAGUUCAUAUUUCCCCAGUAGGUGCAGCAAACUACUUAAACUGUGGAAGGAUAUUACUAUUUAGAGAAGUCCUUGGACAGCUCUGCAAACUUUGCCUUGUUUCUCUGUCCAAGAGCUAUAUAUAGUCUUUGCUUAAUCAAGGUCUCAGAUGUUGUGUGAGCACAGCUAAAUAUUUUCGAGAGUAUAAAAAAGAUAACUCCAGCCAUUUUGCUUUGCCAGAGCCAGUGUUUGUCUAACUGUGUAGUAACCGAGGAUACUGUAAAUCAAUUGCACAUUGAUUUGUGCAAUUUCUUACUCUGAAAUUAACAAGCAGAUAUAAACAAUGCAUCCUAAAAACUUUUAGAUUCAUAAGAUCUCUGUAAAACUGCUUAGUUACCUUUCAGGCUACCUUGUUCUUUAACUCAAGAUACGAAACCCCAAUGACCAUCAUUAUAUUGCAUCUGACUCUAAUGGGCUU
This is a long non-coding RNA of Passer domesticus (house sparrow), 6252 nucleotides long. RefSeq lists it as uncharacterized. The transcript has 11 exons. Lineage: Eukaryota; Metazoa; Chordata; Aves; Passeriformes; Passeridae. The record is from RefSeq and is a predicted model, not a curated record.